UACGGAGGGAGCUAGCGUUAUUCGGAAUUACUGGGCGUAAAGCGUACGUAGGCGGCUUUGUAAGUUAGAGGUGAAAGCCUGGAGCUCAACUCCAGAACUGCCUUUAAAACUGCAUCGCUUGAAUCCAGGAGAGGUGAGUGGAAUUCCGAGUGUAGAGGUGAAAUUCGUAGAUAUUCGGAAGAACACCAGUGGCGAAGGCGACUCGCUGGACAGGUAUUGACGCUGAGGUGCGAAAGCGUGGGGAGCAAACAGG
Molecule: ribosomal RNA, 253 nt
Filed under: uncultured bacterium
Lineage: Bacteria
Description: partial 16S ribosomal RNA
Rfam family: Bacterial small subunit ribosomal RNA
Source: RNAcentral